UGCAAGUCGAACGAAGAUGUCUUCGGACAUCUUAGUGGCGAACGGGUGAGUAAUACGUAAGCAACCUGCCCACAAGGACCGGGAUAACUGCUGGAAACGGUAGCUAAGACCGGAUAGGUAUACUGAAGGCAUCUUUGGUAUAUUAAAGGUUAGAAACACAAGUGGAUGGGCUUACGGCGCAUUAGCUAGUUGGUGAGGUAACGGCCCACCAAGGCGAUGAUGCGUAGCCGGCCUGAGAGGGUGAACGGCCACAUUGGGACUGAGACACGGCCCAGACUCCUACGGGAGGCAGCAGUAGGGAAUUUUCGGCAAUGGGCGCAAGCCUGACCGAGCAACGCCGCGUGAGUGAAGACGGCCUUCGGGUUGUAAAGCUCUGUUGUAAGGGAAGAACGGUCAUAUGAGAAAUGUGACAUGACGGUACCUUACCAGAAAGCCACGGCUAACUACGUGCCAGCAGCCGCGGUAAUACGUAGGUGGCAAGCGUUAUCCGGAAUUAUUGGGCGUAAAGGGUGCGCAGGCGGUUUGUUAAGUUUAUGGUGAAAGCGUUGGGCUCAACCCAAUACAGCCAUAGAUACUGGCAAACUAGAGUGCAGAAGAGGGUAGUGGAAUUCCAUGUGUAGCGGUAAAAUGCGUAGAUAUAUGGAGGAACACCAGUGGCGAAGGCGGCUACCUGGUCUGUAACUGACGCUCAGGCACGAAAGCGUGGGGAGCAAAUAGGAUUAGAUACCCUAGUAGUCCACGCCGUAAACGAUGGAUGCUAAGUGUUGGGGGAACUCAGUGCUGCAGUUAACGCAAUAAGCAUCCCGC
This 807-nucleotide ribosomal RNA is filed under the name uncultured Erysipelotrichaceae bacterium. RNAcentral describes it as "bacterial SSU rRNA". It matches the Rfam family "Bacterial small subunit ribosomal RNA", at positions 56 to 872 of the family's 1533-position model. Lineage: Bacteria; Bacillati; Bacillota; Erysipelotrichia; Erysipelotrichales; Erysipelotrichaceae. The record is from RNAcentral.